This is a long non-coding RNA of Mus musculus (house mouse), 874 nucleotides long. RefSeq annotates it as predicted gene, 39149. The transcript is spliced from 3 exons. NCBI's taxonomy places the organism in Eukaryota, Metazoa, Chordata, Mammalia, Rodentia, Muridae. The record is from RefSeq and is a predicted model, not a curated record.
CUGCUGGCUUCAACAAUAUGUUGUGUUCUCCAGCUUUGGGUCAUCUAAUAACCUGAAUCCCUGGGCUCCAGCAAGACAAGAUCAUCUCCGCUUUCCUAUGGGCUGAUGCAAAGUGAUGUCAAUGCCAUGGCUACACAGCCAUGCAACACCACCGUUCUCACAAGUGCAGGCACCAGAUCUGUGUAUGAGCUUAAAAGGACCUUGCAGCCCAUUCCAGUCACUAAGAUGACUACAGCCCUAAUGUGACCCCAACGGUCACAGUGGAAAGAACAACCACACUGCGGAACCCUACCAUGCUACCAAUUCAUAAAAUAAUUAUGUUCCAUCUCAUCUGGAGCUUGCCCAUGGAGUGAUGAAGGUACCAUUUCGGCACAGCAGAAAAGGUGGAUAUUGAGAGCUCAGCCCUCCUCAGACUGAAACCAGCUCCCGGAGGGGGUUCCCUUGAUGAUGAUGAUGAUGAUGUAAAGUGGACCUCCUGUCCAGCAGCCGAUCUUUCCGGGCAAUUAUUUGGAAGUAAUGAAAGUGAAUGCAUGACAUUUAAAAAGAAACCCCUCUGUCAGCAGGAACGCCGCCACAGUCUCCGGCACCUCAGAGAAUACACUUAGCUUGAAAUAAUGUUCAUUUUAGCCAAGUUGUAAAUUACAAGUGUGUCAGGGUCCAGGGGGAUUUAUUACCAUUUGGAAAGAGGUUGCUGGGCUUGUGCGUGACUGAUCAUACGGUGCCCAUUACAAAAUGGCUGUGCUGUGAAGAUCACGGAGAGGGAAAAAAGUACGUUUCUUGUUUCUUUUCAUUUUUCUUUUACGGCUCCUCUCUGGGGACUUCUUGUUGCUCAUGUCCCACAGAAACACCAGUAAUAAAGGGCACAAUGUCGCAA